UUCCGAUACCGGGAGUCGAACCCGGGUCCUAGCGGAACUCUCAGAGAUGAAAGCGCUAUAUGAUAACCGUUACACUAUAUCGGA
This is a non-coding RNA of Cladobotryum mycophilum, 84 nucleotides long. The record is from the annotation of a GenBank genome assembly. Lineage: Eukaryota; Fungi; Ascomycota; Sordariomycetes; Hypocreales; Hypocreaceae.